AGGGCUUUUGCGCCAGAAACUCUCCGUUUUCUCUCUUCUGCCAUUGCUUGAAGCUUCUGAAGCAGCUCUUGCGAGUGCAAUUUUGUGAAGAAAGCUGUUAUUCCUCUCGAGUUUUUCCAUAUUUUACGUACAAUAGGCAAUGGCAACUGAAGAAGACUCCGUCGAACAAGUUGCUGCAGCACGUCAAGAGAGAUUGAGAGCUCUAAGAACUGCUCAGGAAUUGUUAAACGCUCCAGAUGAGAAAACUUCUGGAGGAGAGGAUCAAGAGAAUGGCACUGCCGCAGAUACCGAAGAAACUAAUCUUGGUAUGAAAUUUCGGAACUAUGUUCCUCAUGACAAGGAGCUCCAAGAGGGUAAGCUUGCCCCGCCUGUAUUGCCUAAGUUUGAGGACCCUGUUGCUACUGAACCUCCACAAUUAAAAGAGGACCCAUUUGUGAAUAUUGCUCCAAAAAAACCAAACUGGGACCUCAGAAGGGACGUGCAGAAGAAGCUUGAUAAGCUUGAAAGACGUACUCAGAAAGCAUUAUAUAAGCUUAUGGAGGAACAGGAAAAGCAGAAGCAGUCAGCUGAAGGAGAUGAUGACCAAAAUGGUACAGAGGGAUAGUAUGCCACACGAGUCUUGAGCUCUCAAAUGUUACAGUCCGAUAUGCUAUGAAAAGUAUAUCAUUGAAGAAAACUGGGCGUUACUUGGCUCAUAGGUUAGACGUUUGCAAACGUUUCACGGUUCGUUGCAUAUGUUGUGUUGGGGCAGCAACCAAUUUCCAGAUGACUUCAGAUGGAAAUACAAGGAAGCUGGAAUUCAUCUGGCUUCAGGGCAAGGGCAAAAUCGGGCAACGUUGGUGCAGUUUCAACGAUUCUGUAAUUGGUUAAUUGGUUAAUUUACAAUGCAAAAUGAUGGCUUGGUUUCUUUUAACUAAAAAAGAGGUAAAAUGAAGUUUUUCUGUUCAACGGAAACUUACUUUUGGAAAGAGUACAAGUCGCGGUUUAUCCGUACUUUACUUGAAGCA
RNA transcript from Cucurbita maxima (winter squash), 1007 nucleotides. It is a transcript of the gene named coiled-coil domain-containing protein 12-like, with no coding region annotated. The record is from RefSeq and is a predicted model, not a curated record. NCBI's taxonomy places the organism in Eukaryota, Viridiplantae, Streptophyta, Magnoliopsida, Cucurbitales, Cucurbitaceae. The transcript is spliced from 7 exons.